GCCACUGUGGCGCAAUGGUUAGCGCGUCGCUUUCCUAUCCGAGUUGUAACUUAGGACGUUGCAGAAUUGAGGCGAAGGUUGCGAGUUCGAAUCUCGUCUGUGGUU
Non-coding RNA from Marasmius oreades (fairy-ring Marasmius), 105 nucleotides. Lineage: Eukaryota; Fungi; Basidiomycota; Agaricomycetes; Agaricales; Marasmiaceae. The record is from the annotation of a RefSeq genome assembly.